UACAGUUUACAUUGUUUAUUUCUAAAAGUUAUGACUGUGUGGCAAUUCAUAUAUAUUUGUGUUUGUGUGUUUUAUUCUCAUAGCUUGAGGAUGCCUCGGUUUGGCUGUUUCUGGACAUAGUAGAGAACAAUGAUGAACUGAAAAAAGAGCUGAAAGAAGAUAUCACCUUUAUUCUGGAGUUGAUAAAAGGAGUUGAUACUUCAGCUAAAGUGUGGCCAGCGAGGGGCAGGACGGAGGACAAGUCUUUCCUGUAUGAGAUCGUGGUAAAUCAAAGGAAUGGCAUUGAUGUGCGCAAAUGGGACUAUUUUGCAAGAGACUGUCAUCACCUCGGCAUCCCAAACAGCUUUGACCAUCAGCGUCUGCUGAAAUCUGCUUGUGUGUGUGAGGUGGAGGGGAGAAAACACAUCUGCUUCAGAGACAAGGUGGCUGAUAAUAUUUAUGACAUGUUUCACACCAGAUACACUCUGUAUCAGCAGGCCUACCAGCACAAGAUCGUCAACAUCAUCGAAGAGAUGAUCUCAGAAGCCCUCAAAGCAGCGAAAGACCAGAUCACACAGCUCUCACCAGUUACUGUAUCCAAGGAAGAUAUUGACAAGAAGAUCUUAAAUAUUCUAAACAGGGUUACAGGUG
Molecule: long non-coding RNA, 630 nt
Organism: Carassius carassius (crucian carp)
Lineage: Eukaryota; Metazoa; Chordata; Actinopteri; Cypriniformes; Cyprinidae
Exons: 5
Source: RefSeq, a predicted model, not a curated record